AUUGAACGCUGGCGGCAGGCCUAACACAUGCAAGUCGAGCGGACGAAGGGAGCUUGCUCCUGGAUUCAGCGGCGGACGGGUGAGUAAUGCCUAGGAAUCUGCCUGGUAGUGGGGGAUAACGUCCGGAAACGGGCGCUAAUACCGCAUACGUCCUGAGGGAGAAAGUGGGGGAUCUUCGGACCUCACGCUAUCAGAUGAGCCUAGGUCGGAUUAGCUAGUUGGUGGGGUAAAGGCCUACCAGGGCGACGAUCCGUAACUGGUCUGAGAGGAUGAUCAGUCACACUGGAACUGAGACACGGUCCAGACUCCUACGGGAGGCAGCAGUGGGGAAUAUUGGACAAUGGGCGAAAGCCUGAGCCAGCCAUGCCGCGUGUGUGAAGAAGGUCUUCGGAUUGUAAAGCACUUUAAGUUGGGAGGAAGGGCAGUAAGUUAAUACCUUGCUGUUUUGACGUUACCAACAGAAUAAGCACCGGCGAACUUCGU
This 483-nucleotide ribosomal RNA is filed under the name uncultured bacterium. Its description in RNAcentral is "partial 16S ribosomal RNA". It matches the Rfam family "Bacterial small subunit ribosomal RNA", at positions 30 to 506 of the family's 1533-position model. The record is from RNAcentral.